RNAcentral lists this small RNA (28 nucleotides) under Bombyx mori (domestic silkworm). RNAcentral describes it as "ovarian small RNA-22242". Lineage: Eukaryota; Metazoa; Arthropoda; Insecta; Lepidoptera; Bombycidae. The record is from RNAcentral.
UAGCACAUAGAUCGAAUCCAUCCGAAUC